Oncorhynchus keta (chum salmon) is the source of this 5505-nucleotide long non-coding RNA. RefSeq lists it as uncharacterized. Lineage: Eukaryota; Metazoa; Chordata; Actinopteri; Salmoniformes; Salmonidae. The transcript is spliced from 3 exons. The record is from RefSeq and is a predicted model, not a curated record.
UUGUUUUUCAGGUUCUCUGGUCCGAUUCAGUGGUCUAAGCAAACAUUUCAGCAUUGGGUCUAUGGCGGUGUCAAGGCUGGUGAAUGGGGAGAAUGUCACUGUGGGAGUGGUCAGCUGUCUAGCGAUCUACCCUUGCUACCUGCUGGUUUUCACGCUCUUCAGAAUGAGCUGCAACAAGUGGCAGCUGUAAGUGGCAAUCAUGUCAGCAGCGUUCCCAUUGCUUAAACAAAGACGGUUCUGCUGAGUUGUCCGAGGAAGGAAAAAGAGGAAAGCUCCGCACCACUCUUUCACUUGAGUAUCUUACCUUACCUGGUUAUUUUCAGAUUUCCUUUUGCCCUUAUGUAGCUUUGUCAACUAUGUGUGUGCUUUAUAUACCUGUUCACUCCUCUCCCUGUAGGCUUUACAGAUGCUCCCCACCCCUUGGAUGCAACCAUUCUAAUCGGCACCGUUUGGAACUGCUGAUCUGUGGUCAAGAAUGCUGAGAUGAUCUCAGCCUAUGCUACCAUUCAGUCUCUAUACAUUUUGGCCCUGACAGAAACAUGUAUCACCCCAGAGAACACUGCUACUCCAGCUGAUCUCUCUUCAUCUAACUACGUGUUCUCUCAUGACACUCAACUACUGUCCCCCCCCCAUUGUGAUUGUGGCACAGGGCUACUCACUCACUCACUCACUCACUCACUCACUCACCAUCUCUUCAUUUGAAUUCCAUGCUGCCACUGUCACUUGUCAUUUAUCACCCACCAGGUGCCCUUUGCGAGUUCGUCAAUGAGAUUGACACCUUGAUAAACUAAUUUCCCGAUGGCUCAUCGUUCCGGGCGACUUCAACCUCCCAACGUCUGCCUUCGAUUCCUUUCUUUCCGCCUCUUUCGACCCGACCCUUUCCCAGUUCCCUCACACUCACAAGGCAGGCAAUUCACUUGACCUCAUCUUUACUAGAGGCUGUUCACCUACGAAUCUCACUGGAACUUAAUCCAGGUCUCUGAUCACUACUUUGUUUCCUUUUCUGUCUCCCUCCCCUCCAACCUUACCCACUCAGCCCCUACCCAGAUGGUCAAGUGCCAUCGUCAACUUUACUUUCUCUCUCCCACUACUCUCUCCCCUUCUAAAUCCUCCUGAUUUUGCCUCUUCGACCCUACUCUCCUCCCUUUCUGCAUCCCAUGACUUGCAUUGUUCUCUUUCCAUGCAGUCAGCUCGUGGCUGAGUGACCCUCAGACUUCAAAAUGGCCAGAGUUGCUCCCCUCCACAAGCAACCAACACUUGACCACUCUGACGUCAAAAACUACAGACCGGUAUGCCUUUAUUUUCUUUCCAAAACACUUGAUCAUGCUGUGUCUGACCAACUCUCUCGCCAUUGCUCUCAGAAUUAUCUUUUUGACCCUAGCCCAUCAGGCUUUAAGACAGCUCACCUAAUCGAGACUGCUCUCUUCUGUGUCACGGAGGCUUUCCGCACUGCCAAAGCUGACUCUCUCACCUUCGUUCUCAUCCUCCUAGAUCUAUCUGUUGUCUUCGACACCAUGAACCAUCAGAUUCUUCUCUCCACCCUCUCAGGGCUGGGUGUCUCAGGCUCUGCACUCUUGGAUUGCAUCCAAACUCUCACUACUGGUAUCCCCUAGGGCUCGGUUCAAGGCCCUCCCCUCUUUUCUCUCCAUACACCAAGCCACUCGGCUCUGUCAUAUCCUUCCAUGGUCUCUCCUAUCAUAGCUAUGUGGAUGACACUCAACUACUGUCCCCCCCCCCCCGUCUGACACACAGGAUGUGAUACGGAUCUCUGCAUGCCUUGCAGAUAUCUCAGCUUGCAUGUCAGUCCACCACCUCAAGUUCAACCUCGACAAGACAGAGCUGCCUUUCCUCCUGGGGAAGGCCUAUUCGCUCCAAGACCUCUCCAUCACGGUUGACAACUCCACAGUGUCACCCUCCCAGAGUGCAAAUAACCUUGGCGUGACCCUGGGCAACAGCAAACAUCAAAGCAGUGACUCGCCUCUGCCGGUUCAUGCUCUACAACAUCCAUGGAGUAUGAGCAUACCUCACAAAGGAAGCAGCGCAGGUCCUAAUCCAGGCACUUGUCAUCUCCCUUCUGGACUACUGCAACUCAUGGUUGACUGUGCUCCCCGCUUGUGCCAUCAAACCCUGAAAUUUAUCCAGAACGCCAAAGCCCGCCUAGUGUUCGACCUUCCCAAGUUCUCCCAUGUCACCCCACUCCUCUGCUCCUCCACUGGCUUCCAUUCAAAUCUCCAGGACCAUGGUACUUGCCUACAGAGCAGCAAGAGGAACUGCCCUUCCCUACCUUCAAGCUAUACUCAAACCCUCCACACCAACCCGAGUACUCUGUUCUGCCACAUCUUGUCUCUUGGCCCUUCCACACUGACAAGAAGAUAGCACCUGCUCAGCCCAGUCAAAUCUCUUCUCUGUCCUGGCAUCCCAAUGGUGGAACCAGCUUUCCCCUGAAUCUAGGUCAGCACAGUCCCUGCCACAGUCCUAGCCCAUCAAAAUCAGCUGGAUUUUGCAUUUGUUGUCCACUAUAAAACUAGAUGUUUUACCUACAUCAGGUAUCUCAGUGUGUGCUGUUAUUCAUUAAAAUGCUAUCACUUGUACGCUUUUCACACUAUUGUGCUGAACCAAACAGUUCUGCGGUCACACUUUUCUUUUCACAAUAUCUUAUUCAACAGAGCUCCAGCAACUGUGGUGUAUGAAAAACCAAGCCAGUAUUUGGCUUGGCUUAGUAGCAUAAGAAGGGUACUACUGUAGACACUGUGUUCAACAGAGAUUAUUUUGUUUCACAGAAAGAGUCAGAAUUCUUUUCAGGCUAGAUUUGAUAAGCAGUGAAAUAAGUGGUAUCUUGGUGAUGAUUGUGUGUCUCUCUCUCACGCAGGCACACACACACACAACCUGGAAAUAAUGAUAAUGACACAGACACCACGCACACAUACAAACCCAACUUACUGUGCACAGUGUAUCUGAUGUGUCCCAAAUGGCAUUGAAUUCCCUACAUAAUGCACUACUUUUGACCAGAGUCCUAUGGGACCUGGUCAAGAGUGUGCCGUUUGGGAUGCAGGCUGCCUCUCAUUGUCAUGACAGUCCCUGAUUAGAAGAAGUAAUUAACAUGUCAGGUUUAAUUUCUCAUGCUGUGCUGUGUGAGUUUGUGUGUGUGCAUGGGUCUCAUUAGAGAGAGGGAGUGGUAGGCUACAUGGUUGUUUCCAUCCCGGACUGUGUUUGCACAAGCACACACAGAUGUCCGUACACAUGCACGCCUGCACACACACAAACACCAGAGCUGUGGCUGCCUGGAAUCCUGUGUGAGAACAUUGCAUUUAGAGCAGUUUAAACACAACCUCUCCCUACUGCUGCUAGCAGGUCUCCCAGGAUUAUUGUAAACAAAAUCAAUGCUCUCAGCGCCUAAAGCUAUCUGUAGCAGAUUGCAACGCCAGCCUCAUUUUUACAUUACACAGAAACAGAGACUACAGAGCUCUGGGGAUGGAUCUUAACACAGAUGUACGCAUCUAUAGUUGUACAGUGUCUUCAUCUUCCUGAUGAUUUCAUAUGCAUUAAUACCACUGCUAUCUGCAUGAUACAGAGCAUCCCCUUCUCCCACACCACUGAUUCUUCUCCCUCUAUGGCCCCUCAUGAUAAGAUAUGUACAGUGCAUUCUGAAAGUAUUCAUUGACUUUUUCCACAUUUUGUAAUGUUUUCUAAAAUUGAUUUAAUAGUUUUCUCGUCAUCAAUCUACACACAAUACCCCAUAAUGACAUUUUUGCAAAUGUAUAAAAUAAAAAAACUGAAAUAUCACAUUAACAUAUGUAUUCAUGCCCUUUACGCAUUACUUUGCUGAAACACCUUAGGCAGCGAUUACAGCCUUGAGUCUUCUUCGGUAUGAUGCUACAUGCUUUGGCACACCUGUAUUUGAGGAGUUUCUCCUGUUCUUCUCUAACAGGAAGUGUCGCUACACAGCUAUUUUCAGGUCUCUCCAGAGAUGUUUGAUCGGGUUCAAGUCUGUGCUCUGGUUGGGCCACUCUAGGACAUUCAGAGACUUGUGCCGAAACCACUCCUGUGUUGUCUUGGCUGUGUGCUUAGGGUCAUUGUCCGGUUGGAAGUUGAAUCUUCGCCCCUCGAUACUGACUAGUCUCCCAGUCUCUGCCGCUGGAAAACAUCCCCACAACAAGAUGCUGCCAGCACCAUGCUUCACCGAAGGAAUGGUGCCAGGUUUCCUCCAGAUGUGACGCUUGGCAUUCAUGCCAGAGUUCAAUCUUGGUUCCUUUUGUCAUGUGCCUUUUACUGAAGAGUGGCUUCUGUCUGGCCACUCCACCAUAAAGGCCUGGUUGGUGGAGUGCUGUGGAGUUGGUUGUCCUUCUGGAGUUUCUCCCAUCUCCACAGAGGAACAUCGGGUUCUUCCUGACCAAGGCCCUUCUCCUCCGAUUGCUCAGUUUGGCCGGGCAGCCAGCUCUAGGAAGAGUCUUGGUGGUUAUGAACUUCUUCCAUUUAAGAAUUAAUGUUCUUGGGGACCUUCAAUGCUGCAUACAUUUUUUUGGUACCCUUCCCCAGAUUUAUGCCUCGACACAAUCCUGUCUCGGAGCUCUACGGACAAUUACUUUGACCUCAUGGUUUGGCUUUUGCUCUGGCAUGCACUGUCAACUGUGGGACCUUAUAUAGACAGGUGUGUGCCUUUCCAAAUCAUGUCCAAUCAAUUGAAUUUACCACAGGUGGACUCCAAUCAAUUUGUAGAAACAUCUCAAGGAUGAUCAAUGGAAACAGGAUGCACCUGAGCUCAAUUUUGAGUCUCAUAACAAAGGGUCUGAAUACCUAUGUACAUAAGUUUUUAUUUGAUUUUUUAUAUACAUUUGGCACUUUCCGAAUGCACUGUAUGUGAUAAAGUGAAAAUCUAUAUGUUUCUGCUUAUAAUUUCCAACAUUUUGGUAGGCUAUUUGUUAGUCAGGUAUAUAUCUCUCUAGUCACCCCCAAAACCAAUUCUUUCUUUGGCCGCCUCUCCUUCCAGUUCUCUGCUGCCAAUGACUGGAACGAACUACAAAAAUCUCUGAAACUGGAAACACUUAUCUCCCUCACUAGCUUUAAGCACCAACUGUCGGAGCAUCUUACAGAUUACUGCACCUGUACAUAGCCCACCUAUAAUUUAGCCCAAACAACUACCUCUUUCCCAACUGUAUUUAAUUUAUUUAUUUAUUUUGCUCCUUUGCACCCCAUUAUUUUUGUUUCUACUUUGCACAUUCUUCCAUUGCAAAACUACCAUUCCAGUGUUUUACUUGCUAUAUUGUAUUUACUUUGCCACCAUGGCCUUUUUUGCCUUUACCUCCCUUCUCACCUAAUUUGCUCACAUUGUAUAUAGACUUGUUUAUACUGUAUUAUUGACUGUAUGUUUGUUUUACUCCAUGUGUAACUCUGUCGUUGUAUCUGUCAAACUGCUUUGCUUUAUCUUGGCCAGGUUGCAAUUGUAAAUGAGAACUUGUUCUCAACUUGCCUACCUGGUUAAAUAAAGGUGAAAUAAAUAAAAAAAUA